Dreissena polymorpha is the source of this 915-nucleotide long non-coding RNA. RefSeq lists it as uncharacterized. Lineage: Eukaryota; Metazoa; Mollusca; Bivalvia; Myida; Dreissenidae. The record is from RefSeq and is a predicted model, not a curated record. The transcript has 2 exons.
AAGAAAUAGGGUUGUUUUUUUUUUGUGUGUAAAUGUUAAUAUAGUUAAUUAGAAUAGCAAGUAUAAAUGUUACUAUAAACCGGCUGCGGGAUACACAUCCAAGAGUACUGAAAGCCCUGAAAUCAUAAAUCAUACGGUCAAAUCUAAUGGGAAAUUUAGGGUCAGGUCUGGGGUAUGGGGAUACUUUUGUUUAUUCAAGGAAGCCUGGUUAGUGUAUGGCAGAGUUCGAGAGUUUUCUGUGUGUUUCUGAGUCAGUUGAAUUUGGGCUUAAGACCAGAGCGUUUGUUGUUUGGAAGGAGGUGCCAUCAGAAUUUCUGAUCGUCGGCCACAUUGUGGAGGCAUCUAGAGUGUUGUGUUUAUAGAAGGAAUCUAAAUGGGAUCCCAUUUUUGUUGGUGUAAGAAUUACGAUGAAGAAAGUUGAUGGAAAAGGGGAUAGAAGAUAGAAGUUUAAUAAGACGUAUGUUGCAUACUAGAACUAGUUGAAUAUUGAUGAAGAAAGUUGAUGGAAAAGGGGAUAGAAGAUAGAAGUUUAAUAAGACGUAUGAUGCAUACUAGAACUAGUUGAAUAUUGGCCAUCAGUUUCAUAAAGACAACUACAAAUAAAUUAUACAGAGAAACGCACUGACAGGAAGGAAGCAUUCAUAUCAUAGUAAACCUCAAAAAGUGUAGCAGUGAUGUGCACUGUGUAGUUCCGAUUGGGUAACUGGAAAGAACUGGACCUGAGAACUGAAUAUAUAUUUAUGACGUUCACAGCGGAGCACAGCAAGAACAUUUGUUUUUACCAUUUGACAUUCGAUCAUCAUGGAUAAUCUAAACUGAAAUUUCUUAUUUGUUUUUAAAUGUGCAUGCUUUUAGAAUAGAAAUUAAAGCAUGAAAAUUAAAUAGAUAAAUAGAUAAAUAAACUUUGUAAUCCUC